GUGACUGUAGCUCAGUUGGUAGAGUACCAGGUUGUGGCCCUGGGUGCCGUGGGUUCGAGCCCCAUCAGUCACC
This 73-nucleotide transfer RNA is filed under the name Desulfolutivibrio sulfodismutans. RNAcentral's name for it is "Desulfovibrio sulfodismutans tRNA". It matches the Rfam family "tRNA". From Rfam's summary of the family: Transfer RNA (tRNA) molecules are approximately 80 nucleotides in length. Their secondary structure includes four short double-helical elements and three loops (D, anti-codon, and T loops). Lineage: Bacteria; Pseudomonadati; Thermodesulfobacteriota; Desulfovibrionia; Desulfovibrionales; Desulfovibrionaceae. RNAcentral also lists the same sequence under 1 other name. The record is from Rfam by way of RNAcentral.